CGGCCACACAUGUGAACUGAGACACGGUCCACACUCCUACGGGAGGCAGCAGGUAGGGCAAUCCUUCCGCGAUGGGCGAAAGCCUGACGGAGCAACGCCGCGUGAGUGAAGAAGGUCUUCGGAUCGUAAAACUCUGUUAUUAGGGAAGAACAAAUGUGUAAGUAACUAUGCACGUCUUGACGGUACCUAAUCAAAAAGCCACGGCUAACUACGUGCCAGCACCCGCGGUAAUACGUAGGUGGCAAGCGUUAUCCGGAAUUAUUGGGCGUAAAGCGCGCGUAGGCGGUUUUUUAAGUCUGAUGUGAAACCCCACGGCUCACCCGUGGAGGGUCAUUGGAAACUGGAAAACUUGAGUGCAAAAGAGGAAAGUGGAAUUCCGUGUGUAGCGGUGAAAUGCGCAGAGAUAUGGAGGAACACCAGUGGCGAAGGCGACUUUCUGGUCUGUAACUGACGCUGAUGUGCGAAAGCGUGGGGAUCAAACAGGAUUAUAUACCCUGGUACACCACGCCGUAAACGAUGAGUGCUAAGUGUUAGGGGGUUUCCGCCCCUUAGUGCUGCAGCUAACGCAUUAAGCACUCCGCCUGGGGAGUACCACCGCAGGGUUGAAACUCAAAUGAAUUGACGGACUC
RNAcentral lists this ribosomal RNA (629 nucleotides) under uncultured Staphylococcus sp. RNAcentral describes it as "bacterial SSU rRNA". It matches the Rfam family "Bacterial small subunit ribosomal RNA", at positions 305 to 920 of the family's 1533-position model. The record is from RNAcentral. Lineage: Bacteria; Bacillati; Bacillota; Bacilli; Caryophanales; Staphylococcaceae.